This 533-nucleotide ribosomal RNA is filed under the name uncultured bacterium. RNAcentral describes it as "bacterial SSU rRNA". It matches the Rfam family "Bacterial small subunit ribosomal RNA", at positions 777 to 1307 of the family's 1533-position model. The record is from RNAcentral.
AAUAGAUACCCCGGUAGUCCACGCCGUAAACGAUGAGUGCUAAGUGUUAGAGGGUUUCCGCCCUUUAGUGCUGCAGCUAACGCAUUAAGCACUCCGCCUGGGGAGUACGGUCGCAAGACUGAAACUCAAAGGAAUUGACGGGGGGCCCGCACAAGCGGUGGAGCAUGUGGUUUAAUUCGAAGCAACGCGAAGAACCUUACCAGGUCUUGACAUCCCACUGACCGGUAUAGAGAUAUACCUUUCCCUUCGGGGACAGUGGUGACAGGUGGUGCAUGGUUGUCGUCAGCUCGUGUCGUGAGAUGUUGGGUUAAGUCCCGCAACGAGCGCAACCCUUGAUCUUAGUUGCCAGCAUUUAGUUGGGCACUCUAAGGUGACUGCCGGUGACAAACCGGAGGAAGGUGGGGAUGACGUCAAAUCAUCACGCCCCUUAUGACCUGGGCUACACACGUGCUACAAUGGAUGGUACAAAGGGCUGCAAGACUGCGAAGUCAAGCCAAUCCCAUAAAACCAUUCUCAGUUCGGAUUGCAGGCUG